UAUUUUUAGCAGAGAUGGGGUUUCAUCAUGUUGGCCAGACGAGUUUCAAACUCCUGACCUCAGGUGAUCCACCCACCUUGGCCUCCCAAUGUGCUGGGAUUACAGGCCUGAGCCACCACGCCCGUCCAAGGUCUGCUUUAAAUCCAAGGCAAAGGGCACACUGUCCUACUUUCAUUGCUUGCAUCCAACUGCACUAUAUUUAAAGUCACUGCUGCAAGGCUCUUUGCUGAAACUCAAUUCUCCCUUGUGUCUGGGGCUGCCAUUGGACACUUGCCCCACUGUUUAAAGAACUGCCUUUUUCAAAUUUAAGCAGCUCAGAAGACAAAUGAUGUCACUCUUAUCAUUUAUACACCAAAUUAUGAGGGCUCUGAGAAAAAUGAACAGAAAGCCCCGUCUUUUUCUGGGGUUCUCUCCCCUUAGCAAUCCCAGGAACCUCUAGGAAAGGUUACAUAAAUGCAGGAAUCAGUCCUACUCAUCACCACUGCUUGUCAGGGGAGUGGGAACCCAGACUUUCCCUUGAAAUCCAAGAUUAAGGAUAAAAUCCUUUAAUGGCAAAAGUGAGAAGGAGGACUCUGCUCUGGUUCCAGGUCAAGGUGACGCUAAGUAACCUUACUAUUUAACUAGUUUGUUAAUUCAUAGAGUUUGUUUUCUGAAGCCUAUGCCACAAGACCAUGAAAAUUAUGGUGACUAGGAAAUCCCUUUGUUUGGUCUGAUUAGAAAAAUAUUGAAGAUUGUACAUGAAGAACAGAUGUAUGUGAGACUCCUAGCAUGGCCCUAGUAGAGGGCCAUGACUGUUCGCUGAUGAUGUCCACCUAAGCAAGGCUUUGUUUACCUCCCCCUAGCUUACAUGGCUGACUUUACCAAAAAAGCUUCGGGUGGAAAUGGGUGUGUGUGAGACAGCAAUCCUGAUUUUAUGAUUCUCAGGUCCCAGAAGAAUAGACGAGACAAUGGACCAUAUUUCAAACUGCACAUUUUCUUUAGGCCUCACUCACCCUUUAAUAUAAAUGUUUUAAUCAAUUGGGAUACAGGCUAUUGAUGAGAACUUCGGGGAUUGGAACUCUAGCUCAGUGAAGAAGAAACAAGAUAAAUCUCUGUGCAGAUCAGUAGAACAGUCAGAGAUGAAAGGGUUUAGAAAGCAGAUGGCAGUAUGAGAAAAUUCAAUAGCUAGAGUACAAUAAAUGGAGUGCAAGAGGGUGGUGGAACGCAGAAUGCAAGCUUGACCUUCUCUACAACUUUGCCUGGGGCCCUGGUGACAGCUGUUAACUCAACUUCUCUACAUUUUUGCCAACAGAGCCACUUUGGAAAAUAGAGUACAUCUGCCAUGAUUCGGUACAAUUUCCACUAGUAAAAAUUCUGAUUUGUUUUCAUGUCUUCCUGAUUCUCGCCAAUGAAAAGAAAAAAAUAGAGACAAGCCAAUUACUCACCUAAACAUUCCCCCUUGUCAAUACGAUAUUGGCAGAAUUUCCCUAGUUGUGUAUUCCCAACUCUUACUUUGAAGCAUUUAACCAUUUAUACAACACUACAUAUUAUUAAGCCUCUACUCUGAGCCAGGAAUCAGAAAGAGCUAGAGAUUUACCCUCAAACAUCACAAUGUCCCUUGUUUAUCUGUGCUAAGCUGGUGGCCAUGAAUUUCUCUCAAUGUGGAGUUGUAGGUUCUUUAAGCCACUGCCUACUAUGUAAGCAGUAACUCUUCAUAUUGUUCCUACACUUACCUCUUUUGGACUACAGAGAUUAGAGUAUAUUAGUAUUAUAAAAAACAGAUAAAAAUUAGUCUAAGUAAGCUUAUAUUCUAGUGAAUAAAAUAAUUGACAAAGAAAAAUAAAUAUCUAAAUCAAAUAGUGAUAAGAAAUAAAGUAUAAGUUAAGUAAGGGGCUAGAGAAUGACAGUAGAGCUGGUGACUUAUUUAAACUGGUGGUUAGAAAAGGCCUUUCUGAGGAAGUAAUACUUGAAUCGAUAUCUAAAUGAAGUGAGAGAAUAAACCAGGUAGAGAUCUGGAAACAGUAUUCCAGACCAAGGAAAGAGCAAAAAUGCAAAAAGCCUGAGGUGGGAAUGAGCUCGUCAUACUUCAGGAACAGCAAGAAAUCCACUAUGGCUAAUAUGGAGUGAAUAAGGCCAAGUGAUAGAAGGUAAGAUCAGCAACAAGCAGAGGACAAAUCAUGUGGGGAUGUAGGAAUCUAAAAGACCUGUAGGGAAAUUUUUGAGUAAUUUUCUAAGGUCAGAGGUAUAAUUUGUCCCACUUCCCCUAUACUCCACAGAGUAUUUUAAAAGUAACCUAGAAGCUAAGGUCACCCUAAGUUUCUGAAGUCAAAGUCUGUCCUUAUAUCUUAUAGUCCCAGUUAUCAUCCAUUAUAAAGUAGACCACAAAGUAAGAGCAGAGCAGAAUGAGAGAAGGAUGAGUAAACCCUAAAAGGAAUGAGAUGAGUAAUAAAAUUUUGAAAAGAAAAGCUACACACUGGGAGAUUUAACUGAAAUUUUAUGCCAUGGAAAAUGUGAUAGGAUCCUAAUGGAAUUAUCUUUAUCCUGUUCCUAAAUAUGUCUUUCCAAUAAAUGUAUAGUCAAUUUUAUUUUUACAGAUGUGUAAAGAGAAGACUCUGGAAGCUCAGUCUUUCAUGAACAAUUCCCAUAUAGUGAGUCCUCAAGGAGUGGCCAGAGAAGGCCCUCAGGUAACAGGCACUGGAUCUGCAGAGCCAGUGCCCAGGUCUGUCAUCCAGAGCGGGAUCCAUUGGCAGGCCAACUGGGCAGAGUAAAUUAGAAACAUGGCACCUGUCAACUUGGGUAUCUAUCCAGAUUGUAGAUCACACUGCUAAAAUACAAGUAGGUACUGCUUUCAACAAAGUAGACAUAUCAAGUGGAACCAUAAAAACCAUUCCUCCAAAAAAGCUGUCUGCCCAGUACAAAUCUUGAAACCAGCCAGUUAAUAUUUUUCUAAAAUCAAAAUAUUAGGCUGUGUAGGCUCACGCCUGUAAUCCCAGCACUUUGGGAGGCUGAGGUGGGCAGAUCACUUGAGGUCAGGAGUUGGAGACCAACCUGGCCAACAUGGCGAAACCUUAUCUCUACCAAAAAUACAAAAAUUAGCCUGCUGUGGUGGCACACACCUGUAACCCCAGCUAUUUGGGAGGCUGAGGCACAAGAAUUGCUUGAACCCAGGAGGCAGGAGGCAAAGGUGGCAGUGAGCCAAGAUUACGCCACUGCACUCCAGCCUGGACGACAGAGCAAGACUUUGUCUCAAAAAUAAAUAGAUUAAUUAAUUAAUUUAAUUUAACUAAUGCAUGGGACAAUACUAUUUAUUGAAAAUGGAAUUAUUUUAUUAUCUAAUGCUUGGAUACCUGAAUAUGUUGUCCAAGAAAUUAGUCCAGAAAACGGAAAUUCCAAGACGAUUGCAACAAAAUAAAAAGAAAAUGAAGUAAAUUCAUACUUCCCAUAUAAUAAUGUCUUAAUUUUGAGCAUUAAGUAAAAAGUACACAACUUUGAUUAAUAAAAAAAAUCAAUAUCUCCUCAACCUUACUAAAUAAAUGUUAAACAAAUAUACAAAUAAUUUAUCAGUUUGAAGGGAUACCAAGUUGUUCGCCUUGCAUGGAGCCUCAUAUUUCUGGGUCCAGCCCUAUUGUCAUCUCACUUUCUCAAAUGUACCAAGAUCCAGGAAGCUCUUGCCCUAAAUGGAAAUGAAGAUUCGAUCCCAGCUGAUCCUAAGUUCAUAUCUGAGAAAGAACCAACAGUGCUGGCCAACAGCCCAUGAAUACCAGCCAGUAUGAUCGAGGAUACAGAAGACCAGACCAGUGGAGCUAGACAAAACCAAGCAUUCCAGUCCAGGGGCCUUUUGCUCUGGCCGCCUUCUGACCAUUGCCUGCCUGCCUGCCUGGAGAUUGAUAGGGUAACCAGGCAGCCCAUUAGACCUGCUUAUCUCAGCACCCCGUGGCUGGCUGGCUGGGAACUGGCCCGCCAGUGUCUACUUCAUCACAAGCUCAGCCUCUGGCUGUCAGCACCUGGAGCUGGGCCAGUGGGGCCCGGGUGGGGCAGCUGGUACCAGACACCCAGGCCUGCUCUGUGUCCUCCCCCUACUAAUAAAUGACUUUCCUGGCGCUGCCACCACAUGGAUCAGUGGCAGCACAGACUCCCUGUCGGCAAGACAGCCAUUUUUCUAUGCCUGAUUGCAGCAUGAAAAACAGAAGUUCCCUUGGAUUGUAGUUUUGUGUAAAUGCUUUCUCACACAUUUUCUCCAUCAUUAACUAGUCAUAAAUCAAUCCAGUAAGCAACUAUUUUACCACCCUGUGCAGUUUUCCUCAAGCCCUUCCAGAAUUGGGCUAUGCUGGAGGAGUCACAAAGGGAAUUCAACAAGAGCCUGCAUGCCUCUCUCAGCACGCCUUCCCCUCCACUCUCAGCUGAAGAUGUAGCUUUGCACAGGCCCCCACCCUGAGUGGAUGUUGAGUGCUCCUUCCAUGUGACUCCACAAAUCUCUGCCCUUCCCCAACAGAGAAUGCUCUGUACUGUAUCUAUUUGUUCACCUGUUUGUUUCUGCAGCAAGGUUGUGAAUUUGAGGGUCUCUCUUGUCCACAGUUGCACGCUCAACAUGUAGCAGUAGACCCGGUACUGAUGGGUUGGUCAGAUUAGAUUAGUUAAAUGAAUAAGUGGGUGUGAUAUCUGUACAGAAAUCCUUUAUAGCAGCUACCUUUUGACAUUCUCACUUGUAGGUGUCUGGCUCCUCUCCAAAACAAAGAGCUGGUUGUCGUCAGGGGUUAUGUUUUGGUUCCUUUGUAUUCCCAAUGCCUAGAACAUUAAUAGGUCAGGCACGAUGGCUCAUACCUGUAAUCCCAUCACCUUGGGAGGCUGAGGUGGGAGGAUCCCUUGAAACCAGGAGUUUAGGACCAAUGCCCAGUACAUUAAUAGGAUAUGAAGUGGCUGAAUAAGUGAAAAGAAUAAAUUGAAGUGAUUAAUGGAUCUAGGUUUGAGACUGUCUUUAUAUUUUACUCCAAUGUCAACACAGGGCACCAGAGGGUAUACAACUGUAUGUGUUUUAUCAAAACUCACAAAACUGUCCACUAAACAGGGUGAACUUUUGCUGUAUAUAAAAUAGCUUAAUUUUUUAAUGUGAAAGAGUAUUUAAAAAUUACCAGAAGGCCGGGCGUGGUGGCUUACACCUGUGAUCCCCGUACUUUGG
RNAcentral lists this long non-coding RNA (5155 nucleotides) under Homo sapiens (human). Its description in RNAcentral is "HSALNT0093639". The record is from RNAcentral. Lineage: Eukaryota; Metazoa; Chordata; Mammalia; Primates; Hominidae.